RNAcentral lists this ribosomal RNA (253 nucleotides) under uncultured bacterium. Its description in RNAcentral is "partial 16S ribosomal RNA". It matches the Rfam family "Bacterial small subunit ribosomal RNA", at positions 524 to 776 of the family's 1533-position model. The record is from RNAcentral.
GACGAACCGUGCGAGCGUUAUUCGGAUUCACCGGGCUUAAAGGGCGCGUAGGCGGCCGAGCAAGUCCGGGGUGAAAUCUUUCGGCUUAACCGGAAAAGUGCCUGGGAAACUGCUCGUCUUGAGGGAGGUAGGGGCCUGUGGAACUUCCGGUGGAGCGGUGAAAUGCGUUGAUAUCGGAAGGAACGCCGGUGGCGAAAGCGACGGGCUGGCCCUCCACUGACGCUGAGGCGCGAAAGCCAGGGGAGCGAACGGG